Molecule: ribosomal RNA, 350 nt
Filed under: Mammaliicoccus sciuri
Lineage: Bacteria; Bacillati; Bacillota; Bacilli; Caryophanales; Staphylococcaceae
Description: bacterial SSU rRNA
Rfam family: Bacterial small subunit ribosomal RNA
Source: RNAcentral
CAGGUGGUGCAUGGUUGUCGUCAGCUCGUGUCGUGAGAUGUUGGGUUAAGUCCCGCAACGAGCGCAACCCUUAAGCUUAGUUGCCAUCAUUAAGUUGGGCACUCUAGGUUGACUGCCGGUGACAAACCGGAGGAAGGUGGGGAUGACGUCAAAUCAUCAUGCCCCUUAUGAUUUGGGCUACACACGUGCUACAAUGGAUAAUACAAAGGGCAGCGAAUCCGCGAGGCCAAGCAAAUCCCAUAAAAUUAUUCUCAGUUCGGAUUGUAGUCUGCAACUCGACUACAUGAAGCUGGAAUCGCUAGUAAUCGUAGAUCAGCAUGCUACGGUGAAUACGUUCCCGGGUCUUGUAC